UGUCUCUUAGGGGAGUUCACACUCGUGCUCCAGGUCACAAUGACUGUCUCUUAGGGGAGUUCACACUCGUGCUCCAGGUCACAAUGACUGUCUCUUAGGGGAGUUCACACUCGUGCUCCAGGUCACAAUGGCUGUGUCUUAGGGGAGUUGCGGUGCUGAAAGGACAGUCAUGGAUUAAAAGGCAGCAAGGGCUUAAAGAGGACAACACUGAAUAAACUGAACUAAGGGUCUCUAUUCUCUGGAAAGAAACAGAACACUACCAAACUCCUUCUGAGAGGUAAGAGCCAAAGAGACCCAGCGAGAGGAAUUGAAGUGCCUAACAGCACAUCAAAGGCAAACACUAAAGUAUGUUUACUUAAUAUGUAAACUGAAUUUAAAGCAGGUGUGGUGGCAUAUGCUGGUAAUCCGAGCCCGGAGGAGGAUUGACAAGAGAACACGGCCAACAAGGACUACAUAGAAAAUACGAGGCGUGGGACGGGAGAGAUGUUUCAGCAGUUAAGCGCACUGGCUGCUCUUCCAGAGGAUUCAGGUUCAAUUCCCAGCAACCAUGUCAAUAACUCUAGUUCCAAGGGGUCCAAUGCCCCCUUCUGGCCUUCUUGGGCAGUAUAUGCACAUACCUGCAG
Long non-coding RNA from Alexandromys fortis (reed vole), 623 nucleotides. RefSeq lists it as uncharacterized. Lineage: Eukaryota; Metazoa; Chordata; Mammalia; Rodentia; Cricetidae. The transcript is spliced from 4 exons. The record is from RefSeq and is a predicted model, not a curated record.